RNAcentral lists this ribosomal RNA (37 nucleotides) under Boesenbergia rotunda. RNAcentral's name for it is "partial 28S ribosomal RNA". RNAcentral also lists the same sequence under 1 other name. The record is from RNAcentral. Lineage: Eukaryota; Viridiplantae; Streptophyta; Magnoliopsida; Zingiberales; Zingiberaceae.
UGGCCCCAAGUCAGGCGAGGCCACCCGCCGAGUUUAA